This is a long non-coding RNA of Oreochromis aureus, 1324 nucleotides long. NCBI's taxonomy places the organism in Eukaryota, Metazoa, Chordata, Actinopteri, Cichliformes, Cichlidae. The record is from Ensembl.
AAAAAGCCCCCCUACCCCAAAUAUACAUAUAUAUGUGUAUAUCGGUUUCUAUGGUAACAGCAACGUUAGAACAUAUGUAAACAUACCAGAUCCCCUGUAGGUCCUAACAUCAUUUUCUUCUCUGGAUCAAAGGCUUCACUUAAAUAAACUAUAACUUUUUCCCAGCUACAUAAUGCGAUUAGUUAGUUAUAAAUCAGGGGUCGGCAACCCUAGGCAGGGUUAACUGAUAGCACGCACGACCAUAGCUGGACUGGCCAUCGGGCAUAAGGGCAUUUGCUCGGUGGCCCGAUUAUUAUUAUUAUUAUUAUUAUUUUGGUGGUGGACUGACCAGAAGCUGAUCGGUGUGUAAAAAUAAGUCAGUUGUUUGGUGGUGGCUAUGGCGGAGCUUCCACAGAUUCAGUAAAAUUAACAAGUGGUGGAGGCCAGCAGGUGGAUGAGGGAAGGGGAGGCAGGAGGAGGAGAGACCCGAGGCAGCCGCCGGUCGGAGCGUCAGGUGAACUGAACUUCAGGCUGUCUUGACUACAUUGUUGAACGUCCCGAGAACGAGGCCUUUCUGAAGUCAUGAGGAUCCUUGAUGACACUCUCCUGAGCGCCAUCUCUUCUGAUGAAGCAUGGGACACUGGAACCGAGCGCGUCAAUAAAGGUGAGUACAUCGCCCUCUCCCCCUCCCCCUCUUCUCAUGAAGAACUGGAUGCUGAUGUGUGUCAGUGAAGUGGAAGGUGAGUACCCCCCCACCUCCCUUUCUUGCACUGAGGUCUGCUUAUUGUAAAUAUCUUGUAAUUGUUUUUACACCUUUUACUGUUAAAGUUGACCUUUGACCUUUUCAGUGUUGGAAAGACACUUUCUUGCACUGAGGUCUGCUUAUUGUCAAUAUCUUGUACUUGUUUUUACACCUUUUAAUGUUAAAGUUGACCUUUGACCUUUUCAGUGUUAGAAAGACACUUUCUUGCACUGAGGUCUGCUUAUUGUAAAUAUCUUGUACUUGUUUUUACACCUUUUAAUGUUAAAGUUGACCUUUGUGCUUUUCAGUGUUGGAAAGACACUUUCUUGCACUGAGGUCUGCUUAUUGUAAAUAUCUUGUACUUGUUUUUACACCUUUUAAUGUUAAAGUUGACCUUUGACCUUUUCUGUGUUGGAAAGACACUUUCUGGCACUGAGGUCUGCUUAUUGUAAAUAUCUUGUACUUGUUUUUACACCUUUUAAUGUUAAAGUUGACCUUUGACCUUUUCAGUGUUGGAACGACACUUUCUUGCACUGAGGUCUACUUAUUGUAAAUAUCUUGUACUUGUUUUUACACCUUUUAAUGUUAAAGUUGACCUUUGAC